AGAGUUUGAUAGAGGAAAGCAGAAUUUCUAGUGUAGAGGUGAAAUUCGUAGAUAUUAGAAAGAAUACCAAUUGCGAAGGCAGCUUUCUGGAUCAUUACUGACACUGAGGAACGAAAGCAUGGGUAGCGAAGAGGAUUAGAUACCCUCGUAGUCCAUGCCGUAAACGAUGUGUGUUAGACGUUGGAAAUUUAUUUUCAGUGUCGCAGCGAAAGCGAUAAACACACCGCCUGGGGAGUACGACCGCAAGGUUAAAACUCAAAUGAAUUGACGGGGACCCGCACAAGUAGUGGAGCAUGUGGUUUAAUUCGAAGAUACGCGCAGAACCUUACCAACACUUGACAUGUUCGUCGCGACUCUAAGAGAUUAGAGUUUUCGGUUCGGCCGGACGAAACACAGGUGCUGCAUGGCUGUCGUCAGCUCGUGUCGUGAGAUGUUGGGUUAAGUCCCGCAACGAGCGCAACCCUCACUUUUAGUUGCCAUCAUUAAGUUGGGCACUCUGAAAGAACUGCCAGUGAUAAGCUGGAGGAAGGUGGGGAUGACGUCAAGUCCUCAUGGCCCUUACGUGUUGGGCUACACACGUGCUACAAUGGUAUCUACAACAGGAAGCAAGACUGCGAAGUUAAGCAAAUCCCUAAAAGAUACCUCAGUUCGGAUUGCACUCUGCAACUCGAGUGCAUGAAGCUGGAAUUACUAGUAAUCGUGGAUCAGCGUGCCACGGUGAAUGCGUUCCCGGGUCUUGUACACACCGCCCGUCACACCAUGGGAGUUGGUUCUACCUUAAGGCAAGGUUUUAAACCCUUGACCACGGUAUAGUCAGCGACUGGGGUGAAGUCGUAACAAGGUAGCCGUAGGGGAACCUGCG
Molecule: ribosomal RNA, 862 nt
Filed under: marine metagenome
Description: bacterial SSU rRNA
Rfam family: Bacterial small subunit ribosomal RNA
Source: RNAcentral